GCGAGCAUAGUUCAGUGGUAGAACGCUGUCCUGAUAAGACAGAGGUCCCAGGUUCAAUCCCUGGUGCUCGCA
RNAcentral lists this transfer RNA (72 nucleotides) under Patescibacteria group bacterium. RNAcentral describes it as "tRNA-Ile". It matches the Rfam family "tRNA". Rfam says of the family: Transfer RNA (tRNA) molecules are approximately 80 nucleotides in length. Their secondary structure includes four short double-helical elements and three loops (D, anti-codon, and T loops). Further hydrogen bonds mediate the characteristic L-shaped molecular structure. tRNAs have two regions of fundamental functional importance: the anti-codon, which is responsible for specific mRNA codon recognition, and the 3' end, to which the tRNAs corresponding amino acid is attached (by aminoacyl-tRNA synthetases). tRNAs cope with the degeneracy of the genetic code in two manners: having more than one tRNA (with a specific anti-codon) for a particular amino acid; and 'wobble' base-pairing, i.e. permitting non-standard base-pairing at the 3rd anti-codon position. The record is from RNAcentral.